GUUUGACACGGACCCACGGUGGCCGGUCUGGCCCCCUCGUUCGGCCGUGGCGCGAUGAC
This is a regulatory RNA element of Anaeromyxobacter sp. Fw109-5, 59 nucleotides long. It matches the Rfam family "Selenocysteine insertion sequence 3". The record is from Rfam. NCBI's taxonomy places the organism in Bacteria, Pseudomonadati, Myxococcota, Myxococcia, Myxococcales, Anaeromyxobacteraceae.